This 468-nucleotide ribosomal RNA is filed under the name uncultured bacterium. RNAcentral describes it as "partial 16S ribosomal RNA". It matches the Rfam family "Bacterial small subunit ribosomal RNA", at positions 28 to 507 of the family's 1533-position model. The record is from RNAcentral.
GACGAACGCUGGCGGCGUGCUUAACACAUGCAAGUCGAACGGAAAGGCCCUGCUUUUGUGGGGUGCUCGAGUGGCGAACGGGUGUGUAACACGUGAGUAACCUGCCCUUCACUUUGGGAUAACUUCAGGAAACUGGGGCUAAUACCGGAUAGGAGCUCCUGCUGCAUGGUGGGGGUUGGAAAGUUUGGGCGGUUGGGGAUGGACUCGCGGCUUAUCAGAUUGUUGGUGGGGUUGUGGCUUACCAAGGCUUUGACGGGUAGCCGGCUUGAGAGGGUGACCGGCCACAUUGGGACUGAGGUAGGGCCCAGAUUCCUCGGGGGGGCAGCGGUGGGAAAUAUGGCACAAUGGGGGGAAGCCUGAUGCAGCAACGCCGGGUGGGGGAUGACGGCCUUGGGGUGGUAAACCGCUUUCGCCAGUGACGAGGCGUGAGUGACGGUAGUGGGUAAAGAAGCACCGGCUAACUACGUG